GCAGACGUACCGGACGGAGCGGGCGGCGUGAGGCGGCGCCGACCCGGCGGGCGGGGCGGUGGGCACGGGUCCCGCCGUCCGCC
Molecule: transfer RNA, 83 nt
Filed under: Plantactinospora endophytica
Lineage: Bacteria; Bacillati; Actinomycetota; Actinomycetes; Micromonosporales; Micromonosporaceae
Description: tRNA-Leu
Source: RNAcentral